AGGUUGGACAGCCGCGGCCGGAACCCGAAAGGGUCCGGGUGAGGAAAGUCCGGGCUUCACAGGGCAAGGAUAACGGGUAACGCCCGCCGGGGGUGACCCCAGGACAAGUGCAACAGAGAUAUACCGCCCUCCUUAAGAGGGUAAGGGUGAAAAGGUGCGGUAAGAGCGCACCCUGCCCAUGGAGACAUGGGUUUUAAGAUGUAAACUCUAUCCGAAGCAACACCGUGUGUGGGACUUAAGGCUUGCCCGGCCGUCCCCAAGAGGUGGCUGGAUCCCGGGAGCAAUUCCGGGACUAGAUAGAUGGCUGUCAAAACAGAACCCGGCUUACAGACCUGAUCC
Molecule: RNase P RNA, 339 nt
Filed under: uncultured Faecousia sp.
Lineage: Bacteria; Bacillati; Bacillota; Clostridia; Eubacteriales; Oscillospiraceae
Description: Bacterial RNase P class A
Rfam family: Bacterial RNase P class A
About the family: Ribonuclease P (RNase P) is a ubiquitous endoribonuclease, found in archaea, bacteria and eukarya as well as chloroplasts and mitochondria. Its best characterised activity is the generation of mature 5'-ends of tRNAs by cleaving the 5'-leader elements of precursor-tRNAs. Cellular RNase Ps are ribonucleoproteins.
Source: RNAcentral